This 914-nucleotide ribosomal RNA is filed under the name uncultured archaeon. RNAcentral describes it as "bacterial SSU rRNA". It matches the Rfam family "Archaeal small subunit ribosomal RNA", at positions 1 to 922 of the family's 1478-position model. The record is from RNAcentral.
UUCCGGUUGAUCCCGCCGGACCUGACUGCUAUCGGAUUGAUACUAAGCCAUGCGAGUCAUUGUAGCAAUACAAGGCAGACGGCUCAGUAACGCGUAGUCAACCUAACCUAUGGACGGGAAUAACCUCGGGAAACUGAGAAUAAUGCCCGAUAGAACAUUAUACCUGGAAUGGUUUAUGUUCCAAAUGAUUUAUCGCCGUAGGAUGGGACUGCGGCCUAUCAGUUUGUUGGUGAGGUAAUGGCCCACCAAGACUAUUACAGGUACGGGCUCUGAGAGGAGUAGCCCGGAGAUGGGUACUGAGACACGGACCCAGGCCCUAUGGGGCGCAGCAGGCGAGAAAACUUUGCAAUGUGCGAAAGCACGACAAGGUUAAUCCGAGUGGUUUCUGCUAAAGGAACCUUUUGUUAGUCCUAGAAACACUAACGAAUAAGGGGUGGGCAAGUUCUGGUGUCAGCCGCCGCGGUAAAACCAGCACCUCAAGUGGUCAGGAUGAUUAUUGGGCCUAAAGCAUCCGUAGCCGGCUCUGUAAGUUUUCGGUUAAAUCUGUACGCUCAACGUACAGGCUGCCGGGAAUACUGCAGAGCUAGGGAGUGGGAGAGGUAGACGGUACUCGGUAGGAAGGGGUAAAAUCCUUUGAUCUAUUGAUGACCACCUGUGGCGAAGGCGGUCUACCAGAACACGUCCGACGGUGAGGGAUGAAAGCUGGGGGAGCAAACCGGAUUAGAUACCCGGGUAGUCCCAGCUGUAAACUAUGCAAACUCAGUGAUGCAUUGACUUGUGGUCAAUGCAGUGCUGCAGGGAAGCCGUUAAGUUUGCCGCCUGGGAAGUACGUACGCAAGUAUGAAACUUAAAGGAAUUGGCGGGGGAGCACCACAAGGGGUGAAGCCUGCGGUUCAAUUGGAGUCAACGCCGGG